This 98-nucleotide non-coding RNA is filed under the name Streptomyces sp. Its description in RNAcentral is "Glycine sequence". It matches the Rfam family "Glycine riboswitch aptamer". Rfam says of the family: This family represents the bacterial glycine riboswitch. Glycine riboswitches usually consist of two metabolite-binding aptamers domains with similar structures in tandem. The record is from RNAcentral. Lineage: Bacteria; Bacillati; Actinomycetota; Actinomycetes; Kitasatosporales; Streptomycetaceae.
CGAAUCCGCGCGGGAGAGUCCUCAGCAGCUGUGAGCUGGGGCGCCGAAGGAGCAAGUUCCUCCCUUGAAUCUCUCAGGCCCCGUACCGCGCGGACGAG